RNAcentral lists this small nuclear RNA (305 nucleotides) under Rattus norvegicus (Norway rat). Its description in RNAcentral is "7SK RNA". It matches the Rfam family "7SK RNA". From Rfam's summary of the family: 7SK was discovered as an abundant small nuclear RNA in the mid-70s but a possible function has only recently been suggested. Two independent studies have found that 7SK RNA binds the CDK9/cyclin T complex (known as elongation factor P-TEFb). Lineage: Eukaryota; Metazoa; Chordata; Mammalia; Rodentia; Muridae. The record is from Rfam by way of RNAcentral.
GAAUGUGAAGGUGACUUGCGAUGUGUCUGUCACCCAUGGGUCGCCAGGGGCGGGAGUUGGGAGAGAAUUUGGCUGACGUAGCUGACUAGACCAAUACUCCCUCCCUCCCUCGAUUCUCUAUCUCUGUCCCUCUAGAACUUUGGUUGUUCAAAGAGAAUGACCUCUGCCAGUAGAGGUCAAGGGUAUAUGAGUAGGUGAGUUCGCCUUCCAGAAUCUACAAACAAGCUCAAACAAACCUUCCCCGGGUUCGUCUGUCUAGGUCAGAAAUGCCAGCUGCUGCUUUAUGGAAGACUCUGGCCUUUCUU